RNAcentral lists this ribosomal RNA (467 nucleotides) under uncultured bacterium. Its description in RNAcentral is "partial 16S ribosomal RNA". It matches the Rfam family "Bacterial small subunit ribosomal RNA", at positions 28 to 506 of the family's 1533-position model. The record is from RNAcentral.
GACGAACGCUGGCGGCGUGCUUAACACAUGCAAGUCGAACGGAAAGGCCCUGCUUUUGUGGGGUGCUCGAGUGGCGAACGGGUGAGUAACACGUGAGUAACCUGCCCUUGACUUUGGGAUAACUUCAGGAAACUGGGGCUAAUACCGGAUAGGAGCUCCUGCUGCAUGGUGGGGGUUGGAAAGUUUCGGCGGUUGGGGAUGGACUCGCGGCUUAUCAGCUUGUUGGUGGGGUAGUGGCUUACCAAGGCUUUGACGGGUAGCCGGCCUGAGAGGGUGACCGGCCAAAUUGGGACUGAGAAACGGCCCAGGCCCCUCGGGGGGGAAGGAGGGGGGAAAUUUGCAAAAGGGGGGGAAGCCUGAUGCGGCAACCCCGGGGGGGGGAGGGGGGCCUUGGGGUUGUAAACCCCUUUCCCCGGGGGGGAAGGGGGGGUGGCGGUAAUGGGUAAAGAAGCACCGGCUAACUACGU